Molecule: long non-coding RNA, 820 nt
Organism: Piliocolobus tephrosceles (Ugandan red Colobus)
Lineage: Eukaryota; Metazoa; Chordata; Mammalia; Primates; Cercopithecidae
Exons: 3
Source: RefSeq, a predicted model, not a curated record
AAUAUGCUGUCAGUCAUAAUUUUGGCUAUGCUAAAUUGUUGUAUUCCACAGAAAUAACUGAAUUUCUUUGUGAGUUGUAUCAUUAUAAUAAUAAUGAACUCUCAUGCUAUUUUUGACCACGGCCAUUCUAAGUCUUUGUCAUCCAGAGUUUUUUGUGAUUUUUGUUUUUGUGUUUUGUUUUUUGAGGUGGAGUUUUGCUCUUGUUGCCCAGGUUGGAGUGAAAUGGCACAAUCUCGGCUUACCACAACCUCCCACUCCCAGGUUCAAGUGAUUCUCCUGCUUCAGCCUCCCAGGCACAGGAACCUCAGGAUAUUCAGGAACCUCAAGAAGAGAGGAAUUCACUCAAAUAUAAGCGUGACAGAUGAAGCCUGAUGAAACAAAGCUAUCCUCAUUAAAGGCCUGAUGGCUCACUCCAUCCAGGAGAUCUCCUCUGCUACCAACUCCUAGCAGCUGAUUCAGUGGUCCUUCAUGAACAAUAGGCAACUGAACAAGAAAAUGAGUUUAUAUUGUUGAAAAGAAAGAAGAAUGCCUCUUUUUUCCCUUGAACAAGGGAGGUGGGGACUAUCAAAAGAUUCUUUGCUUGACCUAACUUUAGUUAGGCUUCUAAGUCUUCUCCUUGGCCCAUCCAUGCACUUCCUUGUGAAAUCCAGUUUUAGCAAAGAACAUUGCUAAGUCACUUUAACAAGAACCCCCCCCAUCCUCAAUAUCUGAUCAGAUCGCUGAGUCUCCGUCAUACCCCAGGUGAUGUCUGAUUACCCUGGCCUGUCUUCAGCAAGAAUUCUGUUAGGUCAGGUCAGCCAGAAUCUCCCUUAACUGUUUC